GUGGCUCAGUGGUAGAGUGCUUGCCUAGUAUGCAUGAAGCCCUGGGUUCAAUUCCUCAGC
This is a non-coding RNA of Dipodomys ordii (Ord's kangaroo rat), 60 nucleotides long. Lineage: Eukaryota; Metazoa; Chordata; Mammalia; Rodentia; Heteromyidae. The record is from Rfam.